RNAcentral lists this ribosomal RNA (500 nucleotides) under uncultured bacterium. RNAcentral's name for it is "bacterial SSU rRNA". It matches the Rfam family "Bacterial small subunit ribosomal RNA", at positions 24 to 518 of the family's 1533-position model. The record is from RNAcentral.
UCAGGAUGAACGCUAGCGACAGGCUAACACAUGCAAGUCGAGGGGCAGCAUAAAAGUAGCAUACUUGGUGGCGACCGGCGCACGGGUGAGUAACGCGUAUGCAACCUACCUAUCAGAGGGGAAUAACCCGGCGAAAGUCGGACUAAUACCGCAUAAAACAGGGACACCGCAUGGUGAUAUUUGUUAAAGAAAUUCGCUGAUAGGAUGGGCAUGCGUUCCAUUAGGUAGUUGGUGAGGUAACGGCUCACCAAGCCGACGAUGGAUAGGGGAACUGAGAGGUUGGUCCCCCACACUGGUACUGAGACACGGACCAGACUCCUACGGGAGGCAGCAGUGAGGAAUAUUGGUCAAUGGGCGAGAGCCUGAACCAGCCAAGUCGCGUGAAGGAAGAAGGAUCUAUGGUUCGUAAACUUCUUUUGCAGGGGAAUAAAGUGCAGGACGUGUCCUGUUUUGUAUGUACCCUGAGAAUAAGGAUCGGCUAACUCCGUGCCAGCCGCCGC